GAAAACUAACAGUUUUCUAUUCUGAUUCCUUUGUUGAAGGGAUGGAUGUUGUAGAGGAGAGAUGUGGUAUAUUGGUAGUUGUAGUCGGUAUGGAGUUUAUUGGGGUGUUUGUGAAAAUUGGCAACUCCAACUUACGUGCCCAAAUCAUCCACACCUUGUAAAAAGUAGGUUUAACCCUUCAUAGAGUAGAACCUGUUUGUGAGUACCUAUAUAGACAUGGGUUCUGAGAUGAUUUUUCAAGGGCACCUCAAUGCAUAUUCGGGCAUAUCUCCCUCUUAUAGUAGAAGUUGUACAAGUAUCAACUUUUAGUAGUUUCCCAAUCUUGUUUCCUACCUUUUGUAGCAUUUGAAAAUUAUAAAACUCCAUUGGAAGUUCUUGUAGAUGCACCCAUCGAGCAGCAUAUAUUAAUUGGACUGCUGAAGCACUAAACUUAGGCUUCAAACGGCGAACAUAGAUGAAAUGGUUAAGUAUGAACCAAGCCCUUCAUGUAAAGCCUUAUACAUAUUUUUCUCAUAAUGGAAUUUGAUAAAGAUAAAAUUACAUCCCAAGUAUAUAAGAUGAAUUUCUUCCGUUGGCUUCGAAAGAUUUGUUAGUUUAACGUUUAGUAGUUGAUGUCUAGCUAUUUUGCCAAAAACUUUGACUAUAAUAGAAUUUUUUCAAGGAAUGUAUAAUUGAGCUUAUCUUCAGUUGUUAAAGGAAUAAAAUUAUUUAAAUUAUCCUCAUUCGAAGUUUCAUCGGUUAAGUCUAUUGUAGCGUUGAUGAAUUGGGUGUUUGAAAUGUAUGUAGGUGGAUGGAAAUUUGAGGCUAGUGUCUGAAGAAAUUAUUUGGUUUAUGAUUGGAUUUCUGGUUUGUCAAUUUGCAUGUGAUGGUGAAUUGGCGGGUCCAUUAUUAUUCUUAGCGAAUGAAACAAUAUGGAUGUAGAAGGGGAGUUGGCGUAGAAAGCAUUUUGGUUUUUCGAUUAACUUAAUAAUUAAACCACUUGAUGUUCACAAC
This 993-nucleotide long non-coding RNA is filed under the name Nicotiana benthamiana. Its description in RNAcentral is "long non-coding RNA (NBEN_LNC009311)". Lineage: Eukaryota; Viridiplantae; Streptophyta; Magnoliopsida; Solanales; Solanaceae. The record is from RNAcentral.